GACGAACGCUGGCGGCGUGCCUAAUACAUGCAAGUUGAGCGCUGAAGGUUGGUACUUGUACCAACUGGAUGAGCAGCGAACGGGUGAGUAACGCGUGGGGAAUCUGCCUUUGAGCGGGGGACAACAUUUGGAAACUAAUGCUAAUACCGCAUAAAAACUUUAAACACAAGUUUUAAGUUUGAAAGAUGCAAUUGCAUCACUCAAAGAUGAUCCCGCGUUGUAUUAGCUAGUUGGUGAGGUAAAGGCUCACCAAGGCGAUGAUACAUAGCCGACCUGAGAGGGUGAUCGGCCACAUUGGGACUGAGACACGGCCCAAACUCCUACGGGAGGCAGCAGUAGGGAAUCUUCGGCAAUGGACGAAAGUCUGACCGAGCAACGCCGCGUGAGUGAAGAAGGUUUUCGGAUCGUAAAACUCUGUUGGUAGAGAAGAACGUUGGUGAGAGUGGAAAGCUCAUCAAGUGACGGUAACUACCCAGAAAGGGACGGCUAACUACGUG
RNAcentral lists this ribosomal RNA (497 nucleotides) under uncultured bacterium. RNAcentral's name for it is "partial 16S ribosomal RNA". It matches the Rfam family "Bacterial small subunit ribosomal RNA", at positions 28 to 507 of the family's 1533-position model. The record is from RNAcentral.